AACGAACCCAUUGAUAUCUUAACAUUUAACACAUUAAAAUGAAGAAGGCUGAUUUAUAGCACGAAGCUUAAGGUUUAACCUUACUGGAUAAGUAACCCUUAUCGUUUAAAUAUAUGCCCUUAAGAUAAUGUGUUAAAUGUGUUUGAUCUAACCGAGUGCCGUUUAAAAUAUGAAUUUACCUAUGUAAAGCGCUAGUGCACAGAAAAUAUCCGACUAUGGGGGUUGGUCAACAUUACCAAAGCUAGCUGAUUAUUUGCACCGCUAUGGGUAGCUAUUGCAUUUGUAGUGCGUUAAGGCAGAUACAAUGGACCAAUGUCUACUACAUGCAGGGCUGUAAGGCCUUCUGACAUCCUGAAAAUGGCCCAUGGACAGAGAGAAUGUGGUCCCCCUCGAACCUGCUAUUCUGCAUAUUUAUGAAAUGAGCUAAGCCUAGAAUAUAAAGAGGACCAGGACCUCAAAGAGCCAUCUGCAUUGUUAUUUCAGAUCCAUAGGAUUGGUUGGGGGUAAAAGAAGAAAAUCCACAUGACCAGCAAGAAAGAUGGCUCAUCUCAUUACCCCGGCGCUGCAUCAGUUCGCCCCACGCACUAUGAAAAUCAGUGAUUUGGGCAUAGCUGCACAGCAGUACGUCCUCAACACAGCCCCGCGUCUCUCCGAUCCCCCGCAAGCACGUUCGGCGCUUCUCUUCUCAGGUGAGCGCUCACGCAGUUCGCAGCCUUCAAAGUCGUCACUGUGCGCUGCGGCUGCCCCCCCCGGAACGGGAGCUGCUUCCCUUUUAAUCCCCAGCAGCUGUGGAGCUCGCUGAGAGCGGCUCAUUGUUCCUGUACUGCAGGCAGGUCUGUGUGGUAAACAAAAGGCUGACCUCCCUGCCCUAGGCACCGUAGCAGACUGACAGCGCAGUCACCACAGCUUCCCAUACACACAGCACAUCUGUUUCUGCAUUAGACACCACAGAUAGUAUCUCUUUCACCAUGUCUUUCCCUCUGUCUAGUGUAUCUCUGUCUCACGCUAUCUGUAGUGGCUAGUUCUCUCUCGCUCUUGCUCACUGUCUGUCUUUCUCCCCCUGUCUGUCUCUGUCAAAAUAUUCAAAUAUGAAAGUUAGGAUGAAUUCAUUGGCUUGUUGAGGUGUCAUUCAGCUGUCCUUAUGAGUGUUUCUUGGUGGGGCUCUUGAAAUUGCAGGCAGCGGACUAACAGUAAAGUGCACUUUCGCUAUAUUUUCAAGAAGAAACUUAGAACUUAAGUCUAAAAUACUUAAGUCUACAAUUUAUGAUACAAGGUUUAUAUGUUGUUUGUGAAUGGUAUAAUUAAAGAAUAGUUCAAGGAAAUACUACGAGCGUACUUAAAAUGGACCAGUUUAGUUUUUUUUUAUAGUACUGUAAAAUAUACUUUAAAAUAAACUUGAUGUACUUAAGUAUACUUAAAAACAUUAACUUUUAUGUCCUACUUUUUGUAAGGGGUACUUUAAGACUUGGCAAACUGAAGACAGCAGAGAGCUUGAACUAUUUUUAAACAUGAGAGGGAUAAGGGAUUUACACCAGGAAACUGUUGACAAAAAGCAAUUCAAUUUCAUGUGUUAAAUCCUUUGUCAGCAAACAAUUAAAGGUGGCUGACACAAGAUGGAGGGCUUGAUAAGCUGUAAAUACAAAAUUUCUACCAUUUUGGAAACCACCAAAAGCUAGUUGAUGACUUCCUGUGGAGGAUUGUACCUGAUUGAGUACACUAUUGCAACCGAUUGCUAAGUUCCCCUAUUUAUCUGAGUGUUUUUGUCUUUUUGGUGAAUGUGCUGGCUUUUGGAUAUUUGUGUAAAGUGCACUUUAAAGUGCAAGAAAAUAAAUGCUGUUGGUGUUAAUUAGUCAGGCUCAGCUAAAAGAUGCAUGUUGUGUGAAAUGGCAGAUGCUCAUGUGUAUUGUGUUGCCCCCUAAUUUUUUAGAGAACAUAUUUUCUUUGUCCUCUCUCUUUUACUUUCUCGGUAUAUAUACAGUGUGUAAAUUUGAAUAAAAGAGUGGAAAAGCAUCAGAAAUGCAGCUGCUUCCAUACAGGUGUACUUUAUGAUACAAUUAAGCAAUUAACAUCCUCCUAGCAUGCUCUGUGGACUGUUGAAAAAUGCUGAGCAGGCCCAGUUGACCUUGAUUUUGGAUGGCAAGAUGGCAAGAGAAAACAACUCAAGUGACUUUGAAAGAGGGUUCAUUAUUGAAGUGUGGUCACAAAGACUGCUCAGCUGGGUAGUGUUUCAAGAGUAACAGUGACUAAAGUGACAUCUGCAUUUAGAUCCAUUUAGAGACUAAGGAGCAUUGAAGCUGCUCUGGUGGCUCAUGGUGUCUCAACAUGCUACUCAGACUCUUUAUGUUGGUUUUUCCUUUAAUUUGUCACUCGUCUGUGUAUAUAUGUAGAAUUAUCUGUCGUUGUUAUCUUUUGCUAUCUGUCUCUAGUCUGUCGCUUUCGUUAUCUACGAAAUCAUUAUCAUUGUCUAUUGUGCAGUCUGCCCCGAAAGCUGGUGUCUUCAUGUAAUCUCGAAAGGCUAUCGCCUCAUACCAGAUGAAGGAUAUCAGUAGGGUGACCAGACGUCCUGCUUUUCCUGGGACAGUCCUGUAUUUCAGCCUCUUUUCAUGUGCCCUGACUUAUUCAGAGAACAUCUUGAUUUGUCCCGUAUUGUAUUUGUAUUAUAUUUCAUUGGGUUUUUUCACUGUAGUUGACAUCAUUGUACAAUCUCAUUGCAUUAUGUACUUGGUCCUCCAGGAAUCUGGGAACCUAGAGAUCACAAUCAUAGUCUUUCAAUGGCAGUCAGUAUGCUGAAGCAGCUUGUCACUGAUAUAAACAGCACUGAAAACCCAAACCUCAUGGGCCCUUAUGGAAGAACAAUAUGAACCUGCCUAGAGAUGUACAUCAGAUUUAACUGUGUGUGAUAUAUUUAUUUAUCAUAUUUAAUAUAAUAUAUUUUUUGCACAUUAUAGUCACAUAAAGGCUCAUUGUUAUGCUCACAUAAAAGCUUUUGUGUCUCCAUUGAUAAUUUUGAUUGUUGAUAUGUGGCGUGGUAUGCAUUUUUUUGAUGUUAUCAUGUUCCUUUCAUUCACAUACAGGUAUGAAACAAAGAAAAGAGUCAAACUUGAGUAAACUACUGUGAUGAAUGAAGAAUGUAAGAUAAGGGAUUGAACAUGUGAUGUGCAGGUCUGGGGAACAUGAUGAAGUCUAACUUGUCCAGAAAACAAUAUACAAUGAGGCAUAUUUAUAUAUAAAUGCUGAAGGUAAAAUUGAUGGAUAUGUCAAAAAGGUGAUUUAGAAACUAGCUGGCGUUUAUAUAUUUCUAGAAAGUGAGCUCUAUAUACAGUACAAUGUGUAGCACUAGCAAAAACCCUGCUUCUCCAGGAGCAAAAUUUUUACUUGGAAGUGAGAAGAAAGCUGGCAACAGCUGACCUGAGUUGGCGGCAAGAGCAUGCUUGUGCAGCAUUUGCAAUGAGGCCCGCCCAUUCAAAGCCUUGUAAAUCAGAAUCAGGAGCAGAACUUUGUUGCAAAUUUUGAGUUUGAAAAGGAGCCACUGAAGCUUCAAAAGUAGUGCGCAGAUGUGUUCACUGGGUUGUGUGUAUGAGUGUAUUUUUAACAAGCUGUGCCAAGUGCAUUAUAAUCUUGUAGUGGUAAAAAUGUGCGACAGAACUCUGAAUCACUUAAAGGUGUCAGAGUGAUGCUAUGGGGAUAGCAAGUCAGUAGGGCUGUAUUUGUGCAGCCAGGUAAAUGAAAUUAGACCUCAAAUAUCAAGAUAAUGGUUACCAAGGUUUUGCUUCCACCUUGUGGAUAAAAAUAUUCUGCAAAAUUUGGGAGUGAGACAAACACUGGUGGAAUUUAUAUUGCUUUGUGAAUGCAAGCCUCCAUGAUACACUCUCGGAAAAGAUUCAUAUUUUAUUUUUUGCUUUUUGGGUUAUAUGAGCUCCUGCUUGAAACAUUAUAGGGUGUGCUGACAGGAUGGUCAGGGCACUGUGCAUGUGAUAGUAGCACAUAUAUGAACCCAGAGUUGUGCUACAUUCCGUCUAAGCAAAAAGUAGCAAUAGGGCUGCUUAAAUGCAUAGCAUUUACUGUACAGUUUCAGCUGUGAAACUGAAUAAGGGCUGCUGGGAAAAUAAUAAAUGUAAUACUAGCUUGUGAAUGUCAAGAUCACUGGGGUCAUGAUCCAGUCACUAAGGAAAAGCAGGAUGAAUCCGUGUUUUUCUCUUUCUUUCACAUGAUAAAUCCAUGUUAAUUUAGAGUAUCUCGUUUCUUAGUAUGGAACUUCCCCUACUCUGUGUGUAAAUGUACUGCCCGUGCGGCAACUUCCUUGCUCAUAUGAUUUUGUCAAUCCAAGGGCAGACACAGUAUCAACCGUAUAAAGUCAAUAAUUUAUUCAAGCACAUGCAAAAAAUGAAGGAUCUUAUUUAAUCAGAUUUUUAUUUAACACAAGACAGCACAAUUAUGUAAUAAGCAUAUGGAAUAACACAAUUGUGUCUGUCAAAGCGGAUUAAGAGGGGUGGUACCAACAGUAGCUGGAAACUGUAUGUUUAAUCGAAAAAUUCAAAUUAUCAUGGGCCCCAGUAUUGUAACCUUGUGAGUGGUGAAAACCUUUAUUUCUUCAGUAAAUAUCCAGCUAUGUAAAUGGCCAAAAUGUAGGCUACAAGAUGCAAACUCUGUACAUUUCCCUGGGUAAUGGUGUCUGCUAAGCAAAUAAAUAAUGUAAGGCAGGAGUUUGUGUGUGCGAGAAUAGACUCAUUAUUGUUUGAUAGAGAUUUUUACAUUCAUGGGAGCAGCUGGGAGCCUCAGCCUCUCCCGCUCAGUCUGACAGAGCCUUUCAUCCUGGCCAAUAACGGUGCCUGUCAGCCACUGAAAACCCUACGCUGCUUCAAAAAACUUCUACAUGAAAUAUUGAUGAGCUCCUUUGGAAACUGCUGCAGAGAUACAGCCCCAGUCCAACAAAACCACGCUUAUGAACAGUGGUCAGUUGCAUUAACAUUAGGUUGUCCCUUAUACGUCCGCUUUUGGUCCCCUAUAGGAGCAAAAUGAUAAGCUGUGCCAGUCUUCUGCACUGUAACAAUGAAGAACAAUCAACCGUGCUGUUUCAUGUAAUUUCACUGUAUAUUAAUAUCAUCAGCAUUAUUGAUCUUUAUCCUCAUUAUUCGACUUUUAUGAUAUAGAGACAGAUACACAUGACGUGUAAAUGAAAAUUUGUUAUUGCAUAUGUUCCCAGAAUAUAAGUGUGUGGUGUGUGUGUGUAUGCGUGCGCAUGUGUAAUCACUUUAUAAGAAUCUAUACGGUCCUGAGUGGCAGUGUGUGUUUUUUCUUGUUGUUUGAAUACUGCACUAUUGAAAUGGGAACAUGACCUAGAAUAUACUGUAUUUUACAGACUAAUGGGAUGUCAUAUAUGUGUAGUACUGAGUAGCAUUUGAGAUUGACUGAAGUUGGAAGCUCUGUUGGUUCUCCUUACAUGCAAAGAACCUUAUUCUGUUACCCGAAGUUUAAAGCAUUUGUUUUAGACUGUGACUGAUCCUGUCAUGGAGACAGGCCGUAAUGGUUAAUGUAAUACAUUGAUUUUGGGGGGAUGAAAGGGUCUCUGCUGCUCCCUGCUGGUCAAAAGUAGAGCUGUUAAUGUGAAGCAUUAUUCUCUAGUGUGUUGUAAAAUGGAGAACAUUGACUACAAAAUCUCUCAUUGCAAAAUAGUUCUGCAGCAAUUUCUUUGCAAUGUCAUUGAGGACAUGCAUAUGUAAACAAAAGUGAAAUUUAUUCAUAGUACUGGAGAGAACUAAUUUAGGAGACGGAUAAGAUGCUUGAUGGUAAAGUGAAAAAAUGUAGAUUAGUACAGUACUGUGACACACCACCCCUAUUGUGCUCAGCCGGUGAACGUGGACAAAUUUGUUGAUGGUUCAGUGCAGGUGUAAUGAUCUGUUAUAACAACGAAAAGUGACUGAUAAAUACCUUCCACACCUUAAAUACACUUAUAUAUAUGUGUGUGUGUGUGCGUAUUUCUAUGUCUGUGUGUGGGUGUAUGUGUGUACUUGCAUGUCUGUGCGUGUGUGAAUGCAUAUGUUAUAUCUGCGAUCUCUCCUUUCUCCAUGGACCAAUAAAUCCCACACCCACAUAUCAGAUGUCGAUUCAUAAUGGAUUUAGAUUCAGGGAAUAAAUGUGACAAAUAGUAACCUGUCAUGUGAAUUGGACUGCAGUUGUAUUUUAAGCACAUUUUCCUAAAGAGCAUACACAAAGACGCAAAAGCUGAGGGAGCCUGGCAGCGUUCCCAUUCAAAAGAAUUACAUCAGAAAGUGGACUUUGGCUGUGUGCUGAAACAGCAAGCCUUUUGAUGGCGUUUUCUGUCUCAUUCAAACUGAACUGAACGGCUCGAGGACUGCUGAGUGACUCAUCAUGUAGACGUCAAUCAUUCAUGACUUAGCCUUUAUAUUCCUUCGGGAACAUAGGCCACUGGCCAAACACAGUCACCCCCUUCUGUCCUGGGCAACAGAUCUUCGAGGUGUAAGAAGAUUUAGACGCAUAAUCUCCAUGUGUCUUUCACUGAGCCUCGUUUCUUCUGCUCUAUUCAAAGAGGCUGCUCCCAGGACCAGUGUCUUGGUGCGGUUAGUCAUCAUUUCUGUCAUCAUUUUGAAACACCGCACAGGUGAUUAGCCUUUUCUCUGCUGCAGUUUUGUCCCAGAAAGAAAAAUACUGUAGCCAGGUUUCUGUUAAAUAAUUUGAACAUAAUUACAGUAAGAUGCCCAGAGUGGCAAAGGGGAAAACUUUUAUUACACAACAAUAAUAGAAAAUGAAAGUAUAUUAUCUAAAAUCCAUGUCUAUAAUAUAUAUAGUAUAUUCCCAGCCUGCUGUCGACAACAUCUCGUAUAUGCAAAAUGGAAUGAUGUUGUCUACCAAUGAUGCUUCAACACAGCUAAAAACAGAAAUAUGUUCCAAAGCACUCUUUACAUAGCAAAAUGCCUUGAUUUAGAAUGGCAUGUCUUUGUUGAAAAUAAAAUGGGAAGAUCCCAAGCUGAAAUGCACAAAAUAGGUCAGCGAUUGGCCAAAUUUUUGUUCCCUAUCUAAAUAAAUCUAAAUAAAAUAAAGGCAUUUUAAUCGAAGAAGGAUACUCAGGCAUCAUCAUUUUUAUUGGUUACAUAAUCUUGUUUCAAAGAGCACAUUUGAGUACUUGGUUUUUUAAAAUCUAUUUUGCUGACUAGCAUGUUCAAACUCAGAUUUCAUGUCCAAAGUUGCACUCAAUAAGGUGUGCACAGUUAAGACAAUUUACUACUGACAACCUUCUGAGUACCCGGUAAUUACAAGACAAAUAAAAAAAAUAUGUAUUUACACCUUUAUGACAGGCAUCUUCAAAAAAAAAAAAAAAACAGCAUCAUUUACUGAACACAUAUUUAUUGGCGCAUCUUAAAAAACAAU
Molecule: long non-coding RNA, 7386 nt
Organism: Anguilla anguilla (European eel)
Lineage: Eukaryota; Metazoa; Chordata; Actinopteri; Anguilliformes; Anguillidae
Exons: 3
Source: RefSeq, a predicted model, not a curated record